RNAcentral lists this ribosomal RNA (557 nucleotides) under uncultured bacterium. RNAcentral describes it as "bacterial SSU rRNA". It matches the Rfam family "Bacterial small subunit ribosomal RNA", at positions 28 to 626 of the family's 1533-position model. The record is from RNAcentral.
GAUGAACGCUGGCGGUAUGCUUUACACAUGCAAGUCGUACGAGAGUUUUUAGCUCUAGUGGCGGACGGGUGAGUAACACGUAAGAAUUUGCCUUUAGGAGGGGGAUAACAACUGGAAACGGUUGCUAAUACCCCAUAUGCUUUCGAGUGAAAUGGAUUUCCGCCUAAAGAGAAGCUUGCGGCUGAUUAGCUUGUUGGUGAGGUAAUGGCUCACCAAGGCGACGAUCAGUAUCUGGUUUGAGAGGACGAUCAGACACACUGGAACUGAGACACGGUCCAGACUCCUACGGGAGGCAGCAGUGGGGAAUUUUCCGCAAUGGGCGAAAGCCUGACGGAGCAAUACCGCGUGAGGGAUGAAAGCCUAUGGGUUGUAAACCUCUUUUUUCAGGGAGGAACAAAAUGACGUGUACCUGAAGAAUAAGCAUCGGCUAACUCCGUGCCAGCAGCCGCGGUAAGACGGGGGAUGCAAGUGUUAUCCGGAAUCACUGGGCGUAAAGCGUCUGUAGGUGGUUAAGUAAGUCAACUGUUAAAUCUUGAGGCUUAACCUCAAAAUCGCAG